UAAUGAGCCGACGACUGGCGCCCUCCGAGGCGGAAUCGACCGCCGGGAAGUCUUUUCCUCCCCUGUCGCGCGCCUGGGCAGGGGGA
RNAcentral lists this non-coding RNA (86 nucleotides) under Winmispira thermophila. RNAcentral's name for it is "Spirochaeta thermophila ZTP sequence". It matches the Rfam family "ZMP/ZTP riboswitch aptamer (pfl RNA motif)". From Rfam's summary of the family: Previously known as pfl RNA. ZMP is also known as AICAR. The record is from RNAcentral. RNAcentral also lists the same sequence under 1 other name. Lineage: Bacteria; Pseudomonadati; Spirochaetota; Spirochaetia; Winmispirales; Winmispiraceae.